UGGCGGACGGGUGAGUAACGCGUGGGAAACCUGCCCUAGUACAGGGGGAUAACACUUAGAAAUAGGUGCUAAUACCGCAUAAGCGCACAGCUUCGCAUGAAGCGGUGUGAAAAACUCUGGUGGUAUACGAUGGUUCCGCGUCUGAUUAGCUAGUUGGUGGGGUAAUGGCCUACCAAGGCAACGAUCAGUAGCCGGCCUGAGAGGGUGAACGGCCACAUUGGGACUGAGACACGGCCCAAACUCCUACGGAAGGCAGCAG
This 259-nucleotide ribosomal RNA is filed under the name uncultured bacterium. Its description in RNAcentral is "partial 16S ribosomal RNA". It matches the Rfam family "Bacterial small subunit ribosomal RNA", at positions 96 to 354 of the family's 1533-position model. The record is from RNAcentral.